AGAGUUUGAUCCUGGCUCAGAUUGAACGCUGGCGGCAUGCCUUACACAUGCAAGUCGAACGGUAACAGCACUUCGGUGGCUGACGAGUGGCGAACGGGUGAGUAAUACAUCGGAACGUGCCCGAGAGUGGGGGAUAACGCAGCGAAAGCUGUGCUAAUACCGCAUACGAUCUACGGAUGAAAGCAGGGGACCGCAAGGCCUUGCGCUCAUGGAGCGGCCGAUGGCAGAUUAGGUAGUUGGUGGGAUAAAAGCUUACCAAGCCGACGAUCUGUAGCUGGUCUGAGAGGACGACCAGCCACACUGGGACUGAGACACGGCCCAGACUCCUACGGGAGGCAGCAGUGGGGAAAAUUGGACAAUGGG
This 363-nucleotide ribosomal RNA is filed under the name uncultured bacterium. RNAcentral's name for it is "bacterial SSU rRNA". It matches the Rfam family "Bacterial small subunit ribosomal RNA", at positions 8 to 375 of the family's 1533-position model. The record is from RNAcentral.